UAAUACGAAGGGGGCUAGCGUUGCUCGGAAUCACUGGGCGUAAAGCGCACGUAGGCGGAUUGCUAAGUCAGGGGUGAAAUCCUGGAGCUCAACUCCAGAACUGCCUUUGAUACUGGCGAUCUUGAGUCCGGGAGAGGUGAGUGGAACUGCGAGUGUAGAGGUGAAAUUCGUAGAUUUUCGCAAGAACACCAGUGGCGAAGGCGGCUAUCUGGACGGUUUCUGACGCUAAGACGCGAAAGCGUGGGG
This 246-nucleotide ribosomal RNA is filed under the name uncultured bacterium. Its description in RNAcentral is "partial 16S ribosomal RNA". It matches the Rfam family "Bacterial small subunit ribosomal RNA", at positions 521 to 766 of the family's 1533-position model. The record is from RNAcentral.